GGAUGCCUAACACCUUCCCCCCGAGAUAAUUUCUAGCCCUUAACCAAACUCUGGUUCUUCAAUUCAAAACCCUUCUUAGUGUCAUAAUGCACUUAUCAUUUGGUGGAAAACUCUUCAAAUUCAAAACCCACUUCCCAAAAGGGAACGAGUUGUCCUUCCAAAUGUCAUAAAUCCAAUUUCGCCUUAGAAAAAGGGGGCAACGAUAUCAUGGCGACUCCGCUGGGG
RNAcentral lists this long non-coding RNA (225 nucleotides) under Nicotiana benthamiana. RNAcentral's name for it is "long non-coding RNA (NBEN_LNC035676)". The record is from RNAcentral. Lineage: Eukaryota; Viridiplantae; Streptophyta; Magnoliopsida; Solanales; Solanaceae.